UUCUGCCACUGGGAUAAACAAACGAAAAAAGAAAUAGAUGUUAUAAAAAAAUAAAAUCCAAGUCAGAUCAAAGGGGAUGUGGUGGAGGAUUCAGCAACUGCCACCCUUAAGCAAAGAACAGUAAUGAAGAAAUGAGUUUUGGCAGCCCAGCCAAUGGGAUAUGAAAGAAAUUAAUCCAGAAGGGAUGUAAUGACCUGAAAAAAAUGAUGAGCAAAGUCCAGAAAGAUUAGAAGAGAGAAAAAGGCAGCAGACAGAAUGGACUGCUGUGCAACAGGGAAUUAAACUGAAAUCAUUAAAUUCUUUCUGCUUAGCACUUGAGAGAACAUUUCUAUCCAGCCUGCCUAAGGUUGGAAAUGUUUGAGGAGGCAUUUAUCAUUAAAGCGGUGGCCUUUGCUCCUAAACCUUCGCCUCACAAGUGCAGUAACGAAAGCUGCUAAUUAAAGGAGGGAAAACAAGCAGGAGUUGAACACAAAGGGGCACCCCUUCCUCAUCAGCACAGAACAAUAGACCAGCUCUGUACGCUGCCCCAUGUAAGGAUCGGUUUGGGGAAGACCGUGCUACCCAUCCAGGCCGUCCACUUAAUUCUACUGCCCUAAGUACAGGAGAGGAGGAAAAGACACUAUCACUCUAUACAAUAAUAAUCCAAGACAGGCUAGGUUAUUCUCAAUAACAAACAAACCUCCAAUCGCAGUAAUUUGAUACAGCAAAAGUUGUUCUCUCACAAUCACAAAAUCCACUGUGGGCCCAGGCAAUCGUCCAGAGCAGCUUCCCCCAUAGAGCGACUCAGUAAUGGAGACCAACAGAGGCGCCACCACCAUGUAGAUGCACCAUCUGGAAGAUCGCCCUCCUUGUUCCAUCCUGCAGAAGGAAGUGCUGUUCUCUCACCAGUGAUUCAGUGCUUCGUCCAGGAAGUCAUGAAUGGCACGCUCCGUGGCCAAAUUUCACAGGACCCUAACUGUAAAAAGGCAAAAAACCUUCAUUCUCCCACGAACUUAGAUACAGAAAAUCAAACAAGGGUCAGCACUAAA
Microcebus murinus (gray mouse lemur) is the source of this 1028-nucleotide non-coding RNA. Lineage: Eukaryota; Metazoa; Chordata; Mammalia; Primates; Cheirogaleidae. The record is from RefSeq and is a predicted model, not a curated record.